UGUGCCAGCCGCCGCGGUAAUACCAGCACCUCGAGUGGUCAGGAGGUUUAUUGGGCCUAAAGCAUCCGUAGCCGGCUGUACAAGUUUCCGGUUAAAUCCACACGCUUAACGUAUGGGCUGCCGGAAAUACUGUUCAGCUAGGGAGUGGGAGAGGUAGACGGUACUCGAUAGGAAGGGGUAAAAUCCUUUGAUCUAUUGAUGACCACCUGUGGCGAAGGCGGUCUACCAGAACACGUUCGACGGUGAGGGAUGAAAGCUGGGGGAGCAAACCGGAUUAGAUACCCGGGUAGUCCCAGCUGUAAACGAUGCAGACUCGGUGAUGCAUUGGCUUGUGGCCAGCGCAGUGCCGCAGGGAAGCCGUUAAGUUUGCCGCCUGGGAAGUACGUACGCAAGUAUGAAACUUAAAGGAAUUGGCGGGGAGCACCACAAGGGGUGAAGCCUGCGGUUCAAUUGGAGUCAACGCCAGAAAUCUUACCCGGGGAGACAGCAGAAUGAAGGUCAAGCUGAAGACUUUACCAGACAAGCUGAGAGGUGGUGCAUGGCCGUCGCCAGCUCGUGCCGUGAGAUGUCCUGUUAAGUCAGGUAACGAGCGAGACCCUUGCCUCUAGUUGCCACCAUUACUCUCUGGAGUAGUGGGGCGAAUUAGAGGGACCGCCACAGUUAAUGUGGAGGAAGGAGAGGGCCACGGCAGGUCAGUAUGCCCCGAAACCCUGGGGCUACACGCGGGCUGCAAUGGUAGCGACAAUGUGUUUCGAACCCUAAAGGGGGAGGCAAUCAUUAAACGCUACCUCAGUCAUGACUGAGGGCUGCAACUC
This 815-nucleotide ribosomal RNA is filed under the name uncultured archaeon. Its description in RNAcentral is "bacterial SSU rRNA". It matches the Rfam family "Archaeal small subunit ribosomal RNA", at positions 454 to 1269 of the family's 1478-position model. The record is from RNAcentral.